GCCAGACUCCUACGGGAGGCAGCAGUGGGGAAUAUUGCACAAUGGGCGCAAGCCUGAUGCAGCCAUGCCGCGUGUAUGAAGAGGGCCUUCGGGUUGUAAAGUACUUUCAGCGGGGAGGAAGGUGUUGUGGUUAAUAACCACAGCAAUUGACGUUACCCGCAGAAGAAGCACCGGCUAACUCCGUGCCAGCAGCCGCGGUAAUACGGAGGGUGCGAGCGUUAAUCGGAAUUACUGGGCGUAAAGGGCACGCAGGCGGUCUGUCAAGUCGGAUGUGAAAUCCCCGGGCUCAACCUGGGAACUGCAUUCGAAACUGGCAGGCUGGAGUCUUGUAGAGGGGGGUAGAAUUCCAGGUGUAGCGGUGAAAUGCGUAGAGAUCUGGAGGAAUACUGGUGGCGAAGGCGGCCCCCUGGACAAAGAUUGACGCUCAGGUGCGAAAGCGUGGGGAGCAAACAGGAUUAGAUACCCCAGUACU
Molecule: ribosomal RNA, 472 nt
Filed under: uncultured bacterium
Lineage: Bacteria
Description: bacterial SSU rRNA
Rfam family: Bacterial small subunit ribosomal RNA
Source: RNAcentral